UACAAACAUUCUUGAUGGAAAACCAUAUGAUUUAACUCUAUGCAGUAUACACACAUCCUACACUGUUUACACCACAGGUCACAGAAAACUGACGACCGAAGAAAUGCAGAAGUUAGAGCAGAAAGAUCAGAAAGACCAGAAAGAAUAUAUGGAUACGAGGUUGGCAUCCAGCAGACUGUUGUUGAAAUGUUCAAGGAGCAAAAUCCGGGUUAAAUUAUUUAACUAUGGUUUGAUAAUCCAUCAUGUUAACCACCUCAUCAAAGAAUCAAUAUUUCAGCAGAAUUAAAUUCUCCAUUUUUGCGCAAAGGAGUUGAGUUUUUGCCACAAACUCAAGUUAUCUAAA
Eurytemora carolleeae is the source of this 343-nucleotide long non-coding RNA. RefSeq lists it as uncharacterized. The record is from RefSeq and is a predicted model, not a curated record. The transcript has 3 exons. Lineage: Eukaryota; Metazoa; Arthropoda; Copepoda; Calanoida; Temoridae.